This 930-nucleotide non-coding RNA is filed under the name Boana cinerascens (Demerara Falls treefrog). RNAcentral describes it as "partial small subunit ribosomal RNA". It matches the Rfam family "Bacterial small subunit ribosomal RNA". The record is from RNAcentral. Lineage: Eukaryota; Metazoa; Chordata; Amphibia; Anura; Hylidae.
GGNCCUUGAAAUCAAUUUUUACCAUAUUUAUACAUGCAAGUCUCCGCAUCCCUGUGAAAACGCCCUUAAGNUUUCUGCUUGAAACAAGGAGCCGGUAUCAGGCACAAAUAUUAGCCCAAGACACCUAGUCACGCCACACCCACAAGGGAAUUCAGCAGUAAUCAACAUUGUUUAUGAGCGUCAGCUUGACCCAGUUAAAGUAAAAAGGGCAGGCAAACCUGGUGCCAGCCGCCGCGGUUAUACCAUGAGGCCCAAAUUGAUCUCUUUNCGGCGUAAAGAGUGAUUUAAGUCAUUUUUANUCCUGUAGUCAAACUAUNUAUUAAGUAGUGAUAAGCUUGUAUCUAGGAAGCCCAGNAAACGAAAGUUACUACANNNCCCACAACAACUUGAACUCACCACAGCUAAGACACAAACUAGGAUUAGAAACCCUACUAUGCUUAGCCACAAACUUUUAAUUACANNNNNNNNCCCUAAACGCCAGGGAACUACGAGCNAAAGCUUAAAACCCAAAGGACUUGACGGUGCCCCAUAUCCCCCUAGAGGAGCCUGUCCUAUAAUCGAUAACCCCCGUUUAACCUCACCAUUAUUAGUUUCAUCAGUCUGUAUACCUCCGUCGUCAGCUUACCACGUGAGUGAAUAGCNAGUAAGUAUAAUGUCUUNNNCCUCCGUCUAUACGUCAGGUCAAGGUGCAAUUUAUAUAAUGGGAAGAGAUGGGCUACACUUUCUAAAAUAGAAUACACGAAAAACUANCUNUGAAANACUAGUUUAAAGGUGGAUUUAGUAGUAAAAAAGGACUAGAGAGCCUCUUUUANACCCGGCCCUGGANGUAUGUACACACCGCCCGUCACCCUCUUCGNCAGCUANNUUNAACUAGUAAAUAACAAAAAUAUNGCACAGUAGAAGAGGCANAGUCGUAACAUGGUAAGUAUA